GCAAAUCUUUAAUAAAAAAAGGAUCCAAUCUUGAUUUUAAAAUGAUCCGUUAUGGAGAAUCCCCCAUGACCAUUGGUAAAUUGUUCCAGGGGUUAGUUACUGUCACUGUUCAAAAUUUACACGCUAUUUCCAGUCUGGAUAGAAAUUGAAACAUUCAACAUUCAUUGGAUCGUGUCAUACUUUUCUCUGUGAGAUUGGAGAGCUCAUUAUUAAAUAUUUGUUCCCCAUGUAGGUACUUUGUCAGGCACUUAGAUGCUAUAGUGAUGAGCGCUAUAGAAAAGCCCAUGAGGAAAUUAAUAAUUCUAUCUCCAGAGCAGGUUUUGAAUAGUGUGCAGUAAAUAAGGCCUAAAGCAUUGAACAAUGAGGAGAAAACAAAAUAUUGAAUAGUUGCUCAUUAAUUGAGCACUGUCCAGUCUGUGUACUGAAUCCGGAAGGGAACAAACUGUAUAUGAUUGUGCAAUUAAAGACUCUGUGCUAAAGCGUACCCACCAGGAGGCUGAAAUAGGGUUUCUCCAGCAACCUUAAUUCUGGCUUUUCCUAAUUUUCAAAUGUUAGAUUUUGCAAACUGAACAUUUCUUUAAUGGAGUUUUUUUUAAUGUAAUCUGAUAUAGAGCAGGUAACUUGGAAUGAAGGAACAAUGGGAGAAUCAAUGAAAUUGAAAUGUCACACAUUUUGAACUGAGAAAUUAUUUUACAGAAUGGAUAACUUGUGGAAUUCAUUGCAAUAAGACAUUGUUUUGAGGCCAAGAGGUCAGUAGGAUUUAGAAAAGGCUGUGUUUUUUAUAUGGAUAAUAAGAACAUCCACAGUACUUUUUAAAAAAGAAAAAAAGUACAUGGUAUAUGAGCCCUUAUGCUUCAGAGCAUAAGACAACCAGUAGCUGAUGGAGAUCAGUAAGAAACUUUCCCUAUGUGUGAGGUAUUCAUUGAUUGUACACUAUAGGAUUUCCUGCAACUUCCCCUGAAGCAUCAGGUACUGGUCACUGUCAGAGACGGAAUACUGAAUAAAAGGACCCUGGAGUGAUAUCUGUGGCAAUUCCUAUAUGCCUUAAAAGCUUCAGUUGGCCAAAAUAUUGUUUUUCCCUUUAAAGGGGUGUCUUUUUAUCUCUCAUGUUACUUCAAGCUGAUGCUUAAACUGCUCAGUUAAGCUACAGCACAUCCUUGGUAUUGUUGCCUCACUGACUGAUAAUUUGCCAUCUUUAUCCAUGUGAAAAGGUAAAAUAGUAACACCAAGUGGAAGCUCCUGCACACAGCCCCAAUCUGGAAGGAUGGCAGAACAACUGUGCUCACUGUCUCCUGAGUUUUCUACUGAGACUGUCACUUCAUACCAGUUGUGAUGUGGAUACCUGCCCACUAGGAAUUGGACAGAGACCGUCUAAUUUCAGACAGGCCAUUUUCAUCAUUCAGAGGAUGGGAAGGACUUUCAGUCACCACUCACUGCCAAGCAGGGCUGGAUUCAGACCCCACAGAAAAGCCUUAGUAUUUUAUUACCAAGCAUCCAAGUGCAACAGGUUCAGUGGAAACAAUUGUCUUCUGCCUGCCUACUCCUCCUUAUGCAAGGGCAGUUCUCACUCUUCAUCUGCCAACUCCUGCUACGUACUAAAUCAAAGCCCAAGGAGCUUCCCUGGCAGGCCUCUUUGAACAGGACAUUGCAACCCAGCAGCCCCCUGCUCUCAAGGUUUUGUCUGCAGAUGGGCAGGACGUAAGGCGAGCCUUGACU
This is a long non-coding RNA of Gopherus evgoodei (Goodes thornscrub tortoise), 1716 nucleotides long. RefSeq lists it as uncharacterized. The record is from RefSeq and is a predicted model, not a curated record. NCBI's taxonomy places the organism in Eukaryota, Metazoa, Chordata, Testudines, Testudinidae. The transcript has 3 exons.